Salmo salar (Atlantic salmon) is the source of this 55-nucleotide non-coding RNA. The record is from Rfam. NCBI's taxonomy places the organism in Eukaryota, Metazoa, Chordata, Actinopteri, Salmoniformes, Salmonidae.
UGCAUUCACUACUGUAAGUCACUCUGGAUAAGAGUGUCUGCUAAAGUGACUAAAC